This 245-nucleotide ribosomal RNA is filed under the name uncultured bacterium. Its description in RNAcentral is "partial 16S ribosomal RNA". It matches the Rfam family "Bacterial small subunit ribosomal RNA", at positions 30 to 282 of the family's 1533-position model. The record is from RNAcentral.
UUGAACGCUGGCGGCAUGCCUUACACAUGCAAGUCGAACGGUAGAGGGGCAACCCUUGAGAGUGGCGAACGGGUGAGUAAUAUAUCGGAACGUGCCCAGUCGUGGGGGAUAACGCAGCGAAAGCUGCGCUAAUACCGCAUACGAUCUAUGGAUGAAAGCGGGGGAUCGCAAGACCUCGCGCGAUUGGAGCGGCCGAUAUCAGAUUAGGUAGUUGGUGGGGUAAAAGCCCACCAAGCCGACGAUCU